UACAGAGGGUGCAAGCGUUAAUCGGAUUUACUGGGCGUAAAGCGUGCGUAGGCGGUUCAUUAAGUCGGUUGUGAAAUCCCUGGGCUUAACCUGGGAACUGCAGUCGAUACUGGUGAACUAGAAUGCGGUAGAGGGUGGCGGAACUCCGGGUGUAGCGGUGAAAUGCGUAGAGAUGUGGAGGAAUACCGAUGGCGAAGGCAGCCUCCUGGGCCAACACUGACGCUCAUGCACGAAAGCGUGGGGAGCAAACAGG
This 253-nucleotide ribosomal RNA is filed under the name uncultured bacterium. Its description in RNAcentral is "partial 16S ribosomal RNA". It matches the Rfam family "Bacterial small subunit ribosomal RNA", at positions 524 to 776 of the family's 1533-position model. The record is from RNAcentral.